This 250-nucleotide ribosomal RNA is filed under the name uncultured prokaryote. RNAcentral's name for it is "partial 16S ribosomal RNA". It matches the Rfam family "Bacterial small subunit ribosomal RNA", at positions 524 to 773 of the family's 1533-position model. The record is from RNAcentral.
UACAUAGGGGGCGAGCGUUAUCCGGAAUUACUGGGUGUAAAGGGAGCGCAGACGGAUGUGCAAGUCUGAAGUGAAACCCCACGGCUCAACUGUGGGCUUGCUUUGGAAACUGUACAUCUGGAGUACUGGAGAGGCAAGCGGGAUUCCUGGUGUAGCGGUGUAAUGCGUAGAUAUCAGGAGGAACACCGGAGGCGAAGGCGGCUUGCUGGACAGAUACUGACGUUGAGGCUCGAAGGCGUGGGGAGCAAAC